UCCUACGGGAGGCAGCAGUGGGGAAUAUUGCGCAAUGGGCGAAAGCCUGACGCAGCAACGCCGUGUGAGGGAUGAAGGCUUUCGGGUCGUAAACCUCUGUCGGAAGGGAAGAACGGGCAUUGGUCUAAUAGGCCUUUGUUUUGACGGUACCUUUAGAGGAAGCACCGGCUAACUCCGUGCCAGCAGCCGCGGUAAUACGGAGGGUGCAAGCGUUAUUCGGAAUUACUGGGCGUAAAGCGCACGUAGGCCGCUUUGUAAGUCAGGGGUGAAAUCCCACGGCUCAACCGUGGAACUGCCUUUGAAACUGCAGAGCUUGAAUCCUGGAGAGGGUGGCGGAAUUCCUGGUGUAGGAGUGAAAUCCGUAGAUAUCAGGAGGAGCACCGGUGGCGAAGGCGGCCACCUGGACAGGCAUUGACGCUGAGGUGCGAAAGUGUGGGGAGCAAACAGGAUUAGAUACCCUGGUAGUCCACACCGUAAACGAUGAAUACUAGAUGUCGGGC
RNAcentral lists this ribosomal RNA (500 nucleotides) under uncultured sulfate-reducing bacterium. Its description in RNAcentral is "bacterial SSU rRNA". It matches the Rfam family "Bacterial small subunit ribosomal RNA", at positions 337 to 828 of the family's 1533-position model. The record is from RNAcentral.